AAACCCCUCAAGCUCCGCUUGAUGUUGGGCGUUUGUCCCGCCCCCGUUGCGUGGACUCGCCUCAAAACCAUUGGCGGCCAGCGUAUUGGCUCAGAGCGCAGCAGAAUCGCGUCUCGGGACCCAGCACGCGGGCGUCCAGCAAGGAAACCCCCCCAU
This 156-nucleotide unclassified non-coding RNA is filed under the name uncultured soil eukaryote. Its description in RNAcentral is "sequence contains ITS2". The record is from RNAcentral.